UNGACUGGUCACAGCAGCUGAUGCGCGA
This 28-nucleotide non-coding RNA is filed under the name Rattus norvegicus (Norway rat). The record is from RNAcentral. Lineage: Eukaryota; Metazoa; Chordata; Mammalia; Rodentia; Muridae.